This 305-nucleotide ribosomal RNA is filed under the name uncultured bacterium. Its description in RNAcentral is "bacterial SSU rRNA". It matches the Rfam family "Bacterial small subunit ribosomal RNA", at positions 32 to 323 of the family's 1533-position model. The record is from RNAcentral.
AAUCAACGCUGGCGGCGUGCCUCAGACAUGCAAGUCGAACGAUUAAAGCUCUCUUCGGUAGAGUGCAUAGAGUGGCGCACGGGUGAGUAACACGUAAGUAAUCUACCGUUCGAGGUGGGGAAUAACCGGUCCGGGAAACGGACGCUAAUACCGCAUAAUGCAGCGGCAUCGCAAGAUGACAGUUGUAAAGAGCAAUUCGCUUGAAGAGGAGCUUGCGGCAGAUUAGCUAGUUGGUAAGGUAAUGGCUUACCAAGGCUACGAUCUGUAACCGGUCUAAGAGGACGGUCGGUCACACUGACACUGAA